This 100-nucleotide microRNA precursor is filed under the name Chlorocebus sabaeus (green monkey). RNAcentral describes it as "miRNA (ENSCSAG00000023067.1)". Lineage: Eukaryota; Metazoa; Chordata; Mammalia; Primates; Cercopithecidae. The record is from RNAcentral.
UGAGGCAGGAGAAUUGCUUGAACCCAGGAGGUGGAGGCUGCAGUGAGCCGAGAUCAAGCCACUGCACUCCAGCCUGGGUGACAGAGCGAGACUCCAUCUC